GACGAACGCUGGCGGCGUGCUUAACACAUGCAAGUCGAACGGAAAGGCCUUUUCGGAGGUACUCGAGUGGCGAACGGGUGAGUAACACGUGGGUGAUCUGCCCUGCACUCUGGGAUAAGCCUGGGAAACUGGGUCUAAUACCGGAUAGGACCGCACUUUAGUGUGUGUGGUGGAAAGUUUUUUCGGUGUAGGAUGAGCCCGCGGCCUAUCAGCUUGUUGGUGGGGUAAUGGCCUACCAAGGCGGCGACGGGUAGCCGGACUGAGAGGUUGGUCGGCCACAUUGGGACUGAGAUACGGCCCAGACUCCUACGGGAGGCAGCAGUGGGGAAUAUUGCACAAUGGGCGCAAGCCUGAUGCAGCGACGCCGCGUGGGGGAUGACGGCCUUCGGGUUGUAAACUCCUUUCGCCAGGGACGAAGCGUUUUGUGACGGUACCUGGAGAAGAAGCACCGGCUAACCACGUG
This 463-nucleotide ribosomal RNA is filed under the name uncultured bacterium. RNAcentral's name for it is "partial 16S ribosomal RNA". It matches the Rfam family "Bacterial small subunit ribosomal RNA", at positions 28 to 507 of the family's 1533-position model. The record is from RNAcentral.